Saccostrea cuccullata (small rock oyster) is the source of this 1118-nucleotide long non-coding RNA. RefSeq lists it as uncharacterized. The record is from RefSeq and is a predicted model, not a curated record. Lineage: Eukaryota; Metazoa; Mollusca; Bivalvia; Ostreida; Ostreidae. The transcript is spliced from 3 exons.
GCUAGGAUGCAAUUAACGAUGAUUGAUUAUUCCUUUUAUUUGUCAUGUUGAUUCCUCAACUGAAACAAUUGUUGGAUCUGUCAUUGGUGGCGCUUUGUUUGGAGCAAUCAUAUCAACCAUUGUGUCCUUCUGUGUUCGCAGAGGUGAACAGAGAAAAUGGGAAAGGAGAAAUCGAGUUUUACACAAUCUGCAAAAUCCAGCCUAUGUGCACGAUGAUGAUGUACUGACACACAAUGAUCUUGAUCAAGGAAAGAAAAAAAAUGCAUUAUACAGCGAGAUUAAUGAUGAAAUGCUAAAUCUCCCAACGUCCUCCAAUGCAACUGGAAAAAAAGAACAACAGAGCUUCAUUGAACAUCUCUCAACAGCAGACGAAAAGCAUGUGUAUAACCAUUUAUAUGAAACAGAUAAAUUAAGAAGAAGCGAUCUUCAAAAAGAUGUUACCAUUCCAGAACGGUGUUCUUCAGAAAUCGAUGUUGCCAUACCGGAACAAUGUUCUUCGGAACUGAUUGAUGAAAAAGGUGCUGAGUCAUUUAAAGCUACAGAAAUUGAAAAUUCAUCGGAAAAAGUUGCCAAAUUUGAGAAAGGGUGUGACUCUGAAAGGCAAAAUAAAAGCACCGGUCAAUACUAUGUCCUGGAGAAAUUAACGCAGUUAUCAACAUAAACAUAGCCUUAUUAAGAUGUUUAUAACUAUAAUUAGACUACAAACUAAUGCAUCAUAUUGAAUUAUUAUCCACCAAAAUUUGAAACUCAUUUUGAUUGGUUUAGUGCAUGUCAUGUGCAUAGAUACGACUCCCAGGCGCGCAGUGUUCCAUCUUCGUUGACACUCAGUGCUUGCAAUUGAGCAGCGUUUCAUCUGACUUGUUUAACUUAUUAUUAAAAUAACAAAUCAUAAGCAAACAAACUCACAUCAACUGUCUCGUUCAACUUAAUCAUUUCGAAAGUUUUAUGGCCGAUACAAUGAGCUUGUCAGCAAAUACAUUUUAUCACUGAGUGUAAUUCUAACUGAUGUUUUACAAACUUCUAUUUGCGUCAUAAAAACACAUUGAAUUGUGGACGGGUUUCUCUGUUAUUUUAUGGUGUGUGUGACCGGUCGCCAGGAGAUGCUCACUCGUCAAUGG